GACGAACGCUGGCGGCGUGCUUAACACAUGCAAGUCGAACGGAAAGGCCCUGCUUUUGUGGGGUGCUCGAGUGGCGAACGGGUGAGUAACACGUGAGUAACCUGCCCUUGACUUUGGGAUAACUUCAGGAAACUGGGGCUAAUACCGGAUAGGAGCUCCUGCUGCAUGGUGGGGGUUGGAAAGUUUCGGCGGUUGGGGAUGGACUCGCGGCUUAUCAGCUUGUUGGUGGGGUAGUGGCUUACCAAGGCUUUGACGGGUAGCCGGCCUGAGAGGGUGACCGGCCACAUUGGGACUGAGAUACGGCCCAGACUCCUACGGGAGGCAGCAGUGGGGAAUUUUGGACAAUGGGGGCAACCCUGAUCCAGCCAUUCCGCGUGAGUGAAGAAGGCCUUCGGGUUGUAAAGCUCUUUCGGCAGGAACGAAACGGCGAGCUCUAACAUAGCUUGCUAAUGACGGUACCUGAAGAAGAAGCACCGGCUAACUACGUG
RNAcentral lists this ribosomal RNA (488 nucleotides) under uncultured bacterium. RNAcentral's name for it is "partial 16S ribosomal RNA". It matches the Rfam family "Bacterial small subunit ribosomal RNA", at positions 28 to 507 of the family's 1533-position model. The record is from RNAcentral.